Molecule: long non-coding RNA, 1644 nt
Filed under: Canis lupus familiaris (dog)
Lineage: Eukaryota; Metazoa; Chordata; Mammalia; Carnivora; Canidae
Description: lncRNA (ENSCAFG00805028396.1, ENSCAFG00845030560.1)
Source: RNAcentral
ACUCCCACAACCUACUGAGAAACACUACAGAUAGAAAAAGAUCACAUCACAGAUCUACCAAUGCAGGUAAUCGUACAUUUUGAUAAAUAUUUCAAGAGUAAAGCUUAAAUAUAGGAUCAAAAUCACAUUGUGCAUUCCCUCAAACUUUUGUGUGAUAAUGUGAAAAUCAUACAUAUUUACACCCAGAUAAAAAAAUAAAAACAUGCUUGGUCCAAAGACAAAUAAAUAUCUGUCUUUAUUGAAAUCCAAAUCAGGUGUAUGUGUCUGUAUGUGUGUACGUGUGUGUGUGUGUGUGUGUGUGUGCAUGUCCAUAAGAACAAGACUAAAAGGAUCUCUGACCUUAAGAGUUCUUAAUCAUUUUGCACUACAGUUUGGAGCAAAGAGUGCUUUAUAUUGGUCCUGAAUAGUUUCAGAGCUCAUCUGUCAAAUACUUCCAUCAGCGGUCAUCCAGAUUAUGUGGAUAGUUGUGCAGUUGAUGAAUUAUCCUUAGCAGCAAAUCUGGUACUUAACCUUGUGUACCUUUGUACACACGUUAACCUAAGUUAUUGAAAUUCAUUUUGUAGAUGUUCAAAUCAUGAGAUGUUUAAUUACAUUACUCUUUGUUUUAGCAUUGCAUUUGAAAUUCCUUUCCCCAACUUGAAAAGUUUCCUUUGGUUUUAGCAUAUCCAUCAAAUGUUUGGAAAUAGAACUAGAAACUAGAAAUCCAUCUGACAUUUUAUUUUCAGUUGGGUCUAGGGAAUCCUUAAGAUCUUGAUUCUUUUCUAAGUUUCUUUUUAUACAAUAUUUUACUUUCUGUGGGGUCCCAGGAAUCCUUAACACUGUUACUUUUAAAAAUAUCUUUGUUAAAUCUUUAACAUUUUUAUGCUUAUCUUCUUUUAGAAAAUGUGUUAGACCAAACCUCUGGUGGAAAACAUGAAUUUUCACAAAUUAUCCUUGAGGACAGACAGCAGCUGUCACCUGGUCUCAGUCUCUACUGAUGUAGAGCGCAUGUGCUUGGCAAAGGAGUGCUAAGCCUUGCUGCUUCAUACUCAGGGUAGCUCUUGUCUGUGGGUAAACAAAUUUGGCAGAGCAUCAUCUUCUUAAUAGAUUCCUGGCUCUUGUUUUCAUUUAAUUACAGUGCUUCUUCUAAAAGUGCUUUUGUCAUAUCUGAUACUAGAUAAGAUUCUUUACAGCAGUUUCCUUUGCAUCUGUUCCUCCUGUUACUUCUGCUUCACAUAUCUUUUGAGUCAUAAACUCUUUUAGUGUGGAGGGAAGAAUUUUCCCCUAGAUCCUUUCAUAUCUUUACCAUGCCUAUGGAAUGUUCCUGCUACCUCUAGCAGAUUCUACAUGAAGUAAAAACCAUAGUGGGAUUUAGAGAUAUGGUCAAAGUGAGAUUUUUGUAAAUAAAAAAAUUUAAUUAGAGAAAUUAAUUCCACUUUUACCCAUUGAACAGAUAAUUACUUCCUAGAUUUGUUUUAAUCUGAGUUGGAUCGGCUUAUUAUUAUCAUACUGUAGUGAAUAAUUAUAAUUUUAAAAAUUAGUGCAGUUUUUGGUAAAACAAGGAAAAAUAAAGAUCUUAAGAUGUUUUAAGUUAUGGCCAUGUCUCAUGAGUUGUGACAAAAUAAUGGCAAAGCAACUGGUUGAAGAGUAAAAAAAAAAAAAAAA